GUUAGCGGCGGACGGGUGAGUAACACGUGGAUAACCUACCUAUAAGACUGGGAUAACUUCGGGAAACCGGAGCUAAUACCGGAUAAUAUUUUGAACCGCAUGGUUCAAAAGUGAAAGACGGUCUUGCUGUCACUUAUAGAUGGAUCCGCGCUGCAUUAGCUAGUUGGUAAGGUAACGGCUUACCAAGGCAACGAUGCAUAGCCGACCUGAGAGGGUGAUCGGCCACACUGGAACUGAGACACGGUCCAGACUCCUACGGGAGGCAGCAGUAGGGAAUCUUCCGCAAUGGGCGAAAGCCUGACGGAGCAACGCCGCGUGAGUGAUGAAGGUCUUCGGAUCGUAAAACUCUGUUAUUAGGGAAGAACAUAUGUGUAAGUAACUGUGCACAUCUUGACGGUACCUAAUCAGAAAGCCACGGCUAACUACGUGCCAGCAGCCGCGGUAAUACGUAGGUGGCAAGCGUUAUCCGGAAUUAUUGGGCGUAAAGCGCGCGUAGGCGGUUUUUUAAGUCUGAUGUGAAAGCCCACGGCUCAACCGUGGAGGGUCAUUGGAAACUGGAAAACUUGAGUGCAGAAGAGGAAAGUGGAAUUCCAUGUGUAGCGGUGAAAUGCGCAGAGAUAUGGAGGAACACCAGUGGCGAAGGCGACUUUCUGGUCUGUAACUGACGCUGAUGUGCGAAAGCGUGGGGAUCAAACAGGAUUAGAUACCCUGGUAGUCCACGCCGUAAACGAUGAGUGCUAAGUGUUAGGGGGUUUCCGCCCCUUAGUGCUGCAGCUAACGCAUUAAGCACUCCGCCUGGGGAGUACGACCGCAAGGUUGAAACUCAAAGGAAUUGACGGGGACCCGCACAAGCGGUGGAGCAUGUGGUUUAAUUCGAAGCAACGCGAAGAACCUUACCAAAUCUUGACAUCCUUUGACAACUCUAGAGAUAGAGCCUUCCCCUUCGGGGGACAAAGUGACAGGUGGUGCAUGGUUGUCGUCAGCUCGUGUCGUGAGAUGUUGGGUUAAGUCCCGCAACGAGCGCAACCCUUAAGCUUAGUUGCCAUCAUUAAGUUGGGCACUCUAAGUUGACUGCCGGUGACAAACCGGAGGAAGGUGGGGAUGACGUCAAAUCAUCAUGCCCCUUAUGAUUUGGGCUACACACGUGCUACAAUGGACAAUACAAAGGGCAGCGAAACCGCGAGGUCAAGCAAAUCCCAUAAAGUUGUUCUCAGUUCGGAUUGUAGUCUGCAACUCGACUACAUGAAGCUGGAAUCGCUAGUAAUCGUAGAUCAGCAUGCUACGGUGAAUACGUUCCCGGGUCUUGUACACACCGCCCGUCACACCACGAGAGUUUGUAACACCCGAAGCCGGUGGAGUAACCUUUUAGGAGCUAGCCGUCGAAGGUGGGACAAAUGAUUGGGGUGAAGUCGUAACAAGGUAGCCGUAUCGGAAGGUGCGGCUGGAUCACCU
RNAcentral lists this ribosomal RNA (1452 nucleotides) under Staphylococcus aureus SJUD6124. RNAcentral's name for it is "partial 16S ribosomal RNA". It matches the Rfam family "Bacterial small subunit ribosomal RNA". Lineage: Bacteria; Bacillati; Bacillota; Bacilli; Caryophanales; Staphylococcaceae. The record is from RNAcentral.